Molecule: non-coding RNA, 818 nt
Filed under: Perumytilus purpuratus
Lineage: Eukaryota; Metazoa; Mollusca; Bivalvia; Mytilida; Mytilidae
Source: RNAcentral
UAUUAAGAUUGAUAUGUUUGAUUGUGGCAAAAAAUUUCUAUUAAAAUAAAGUUUACUAUGAUAUUUACUUAAGACUUGGUUUGAUUGCCGACGUCAGUAAGAAUCAAUAAACAACUUAUGAAAGUAAGGUUUUGUUUGUUUUAAUACGGUGGGGACAAGACGAAUGCCAGCAUCCGCGGUUAUAUUCGCUCAUAGAAUGAAUUUGGAUGGAUUUGUUAGAGCAUAGAUAAUUUAGUUACAGUAUAGAUAUUAGGAAGGAGUUAAAUUCAGAUCUAAUUGUGUUUUAUUCCAAGAGUAAGUUUAGUGUUUCUUACGUGAUUGGGGUGAGAAACCAGGAUUAGUGCCCUGUUAUCCUCAAUGUAAAAUAUAAAUUCCACUCUACUAAACAUUUAAUUGUCAAAGAGAAAUGAAUUGGCGGUGUUCGAGUUAAAAAACAGGGGAACCGGGGUGUUAAAAGAUAUUCCACUUACAUUUAAACCUUCUCUUAAAAAUGCGUGUGUAUGGUUGUUUAAUUAGUGGUUUGCGAGUCGUUAGUUAGUAAACUUAGUAAGGUGUAUUUAGCUUAUUAGUAAGUUUAAAUUCAGAUUAUCAUGCAGCUAUGUUAAGGUUAGCCUGGGUUACAUUUAGAACAUAAUAUUAUUAUAAAAAUAAACGAAUAAUAUUAGGAAACUUUUUAUUUGAAGAAGGACUUGUAAGUAAAAUAAAAUAAAUAAAAGUUAAUUGAAUCCUAUCGAAUGAGUACAAAUCGCCCGUCGCUCGCGAAGGAAAUUUGCGAUAAGUCGUAACAAGGUAGGGGUACCUGAAGGUGUCUCUAAAAU